UCCCGGUUGAUCCUGCCGGACCUGACUGCUAUCGGAUUGAUACUAAGCCAUGCGAGUCUUUGUAGUAAUACAAGGCAGACGGCUCAGUAACGCGUAGUCAAUCUACCCUAUGGACGGGGAUAACCUCGGGAAACUGAGAAUAAUACCCGAUAGAACAUUAUGCCUGGAAUGGUUUAUGUUCCAAAUGAUUUAUCGCCGUAGGAUGGGACUGCGGCCUAUCAGUUUGUUGGUGAGGUAAUGGCCCACCAAGACUAUUACAGGUACGGGCUCUGAGAGGAGUGGCCCGGAGAUGGGUACUGAGACACGGACCCAGGCCCUAUGGGGCGCAGCAGGCGAGAAAACUUUGCAAUGUGCGAAAGCACGACAAGGUUAAUCCGAGUGGUUUCUGCUAAAGGAACCUUUUGUCGGUCCUAGAAACACCGAUGAAUAAGGGGUGGGCAAGUUCUGGUGUCAGCCGCCGCGGUAAAACCAGCACCUCAAGAGGUCAGAAUGAUUAUUGGGCCUAAAGCAUCCGUAGCCGGCUCUGUUAGUUUUCGGUUAAAUCUGUACGCUCAACGUACAGGCUGCCGGGAAUACUGCAGAGCUAGGGAGUGGGAGAGGUAGACGGUACUCGGUAGGAAGGGGUAAAAUCCUUUGAUCUAUUGAUGACCACCUGUGGCGAAGGCGGUCUACCAGAACACGUCCGACGGUGAGGGAUGAAAGCUGGGGGAGCAAACCGGAUUAGAUACCCGGGUAGUCCCAGCUGUAAACUAUGCAAACUCAGUGAUGCAUUGGCUUGUGGCCAAUGCAGUGCUGCAGGGAAGCCGUUAAGUUUGCCGCCUGGGAAGUACGUACGCAAGUAUGAAACUUAAAGGAAUUGGCGGGGGAGCACCACAAGGGGUGAAGCCUGCGGUUCAAUUGGAUUCAACGCCGGA
This 914-nucleotide ribosomal RNA is filed under the name uncultured archaeon. Its description in RNAcentral is "bacterial SSU rRNA". It matches the Rfam family "Archaeal small subunit ribosomal RNA", at positions 1 to 922 of the family's 1478-position model. The record is from RNAcentral.